This 449-nucleotide ribosomal RNA is filed under the name uncultured bacterium. Its description in RNAcentral is "partial 16S ribosomal RNA". It matches the Rfam family "Bacterial small subunit ribosomal RNA", at positions 29 to 523 of the family's 1533-position model. The record is from RNAcentral.
AACGAACGCUGGCGGCAUGCCUAAUACAUGCAAGUCGAACGAUCUCUUCGGAGAUAGUGGCGCACGGGUGCGUAACGCGUGGGAAUCUGCCCUUGGGUUCGGAAUAACGUCGGGAAACUGACGCUAAUACCGGAUGAUGACGUAAGUCCAAAGAUUUAUCGCCCAGGGAUGAGCCCGCGUAGGAUUAGCUAGUUGGUGGGGUAAAGGCCUACCAAGGCGACGAUCCUUAGCUGGUCUGAGAGGAUGAUCAGCCACACUGGGACUGAGACACGGCCCAGACUCCUACGGGAGGCAGCAGUAGGGAAUAUUGGACAAUGGGGGCAACCCUGAUCCAGCAAUGCCGCGUGAGUGAUAAAGGCCUUAGGGUUGUAAAGCUCUUUUACCCGAGAUGAUAAUGACAGUAUCGGGAGAAUAAGCUCCGGCUAACUCCGUGCCAGCCGCCGCGGUAA